UGCGCAGGUGGGCUUGUAAGUCAGUGGUGAAAUCUUGCCGCUUAACGGUAAAAUUGCCAUUGAUACUGCAAGUCUUGAGUAUGGUUGAGGUAGGUGGAAUGUGUUGUGUAGCGGUGAAAUGCAUAGAUAUGACACAGAACGCCGAUUGCGAAGGCAACUUACUAAGCCAUUACUGACGCUGAGGCACGAAAGCGUGGGGAGCGAACAGGAUUAGAUACCCAGGUAGUC
RNAcentral lists this ribosomal RNA (228 nucleotides) under uncultured bacterium. RNAcentral describes it as "partial 16S ribosomal RNA". It matches the Rfam family "Bacterial small subunit ribosomal RNA", at positions 568 to 795 of the family's 1533-position model. The record is from RNAcentral.